AUGUUAGAGGUGGAGGAGACACUGAAGUGACUUCAGAGCCAGAAGGGAGUACAGGGCAUCAUCGUGGUGAACACAGAAGGCAUUCCCAACAAGAGCACCAUGGACAAUCCCACCACCACACAGUAUGCCAACCUCAUGCACAACUUCAUCUUGAAGGCCCGGAGCACGGUGCGUGAAAUCAACCCCCAGAAUGACCUCACCUUCCUGCGAAUUCGCUCCAAGAAAAAUGAAAUUAUGGUUGCACCAGAUAAAGACUAUUUCCUGAUUGUGAUUCAGAAUCCAACUGAAUAAGCCAGUCUCUUGGCUCCCUGCAUCAUUCCUUAAUUUAAUAGCUCCCAAGAAUAAUAAUGUUUAAUCAUGUCAACCAACUGGCAGGUGGAAAUCACCUUAGAGCCUACUUAGACCAACCCAGUGACCAAAGUCAUCAAAGUCAUCCCUCUGCUGGCCAAUCACCCUUGAAUCCUUGGGAGGGCAUUCUUUCCUCACCUCCAGAUUUUGGAGCAAGAGCUUUGAGCAGCCCACACCCUACUUCCUCCUAACCUUCAGUUCAUUUUGUCACCCUUGGAAAAGGCUGUUUUUCUUUAACUAAAAAUAACUGAAAUGCUAAAAAA
Molecule: RNA transcript, 611 nt
Organism: Neomonachus schauinslandi (Hawaiian monk seal)
Lineage: Eukaryota; Metazoa; Chordata; Mammalia; Carnivora; Phocidae
Gene name: dynein light chain roadblock-type 1-like
Exons: 1
Source: RefSeq, a predicted model, not a curated record